RNAcentral lists this transfer RNA (62 nucleotides) under Ictidomys tridecemlineatus (thirteen-lined ground squirrel). Its description in RNAcentral is "Spermophilus tridecemlineatus (thirteen-lined ground squirrel) tRNA". The record is from Rfam by way of RNAcentral. Lineage: Eukaryota; Metazoa; Chordata; Mammalia; Rodentia; Sciuridae.
GGGGUUGUGGCUCAGCGGUAGAGCACACAUCUAAUGCAUGUGAGGCACUGAAUUCGAUCCUA